Molecule: ribosomal RNA, 253 nt
Filed under: uncultured bacterium
Lineage: Bacteria
Description: partial 16S ribosomal RNA
Rfam family: Bacterial small subunit ribosomal RNA
Source: RNAcentral
UACGGAGGGGGCUAGCGUUGUUCGGAAUUACUGGGCGUAAAGCGCACGUAGGCGGCUUUGUAAGUUAGAGGUGAAAGCCCGGGGCUCAACUCCGGAAUUGCCUUUAAGACUGCAUCGCUAGAAUUGUGGAGAGGUAAGUGGAAUUCCGAGUGUAGAGGUGAAAUUCGUAGAUAUUCGGAAGAACACCAGUGGCGAGGGCGGCUCACUGGCCCGAUACUGACGCCGAGGCACGAAAGCGUGGGGAGCAAACAGG